Molecule: transfer RNA, 68 nt
Filed under: Desmophyllum pertusum
Lineage: Eukaryota; Metazoa; Cnidaria; Anthozoa; Scleractinia; Caryophylliidae
Description: tRNA-Ser
Source: RNAcentral
GAAGUAGCAGUGGUAGAGCGUUUGCACUGGAAUUGCAAAGUUCAUGGGUUUGAAUCCCGUUGGAGCCU